RNAcentral lists this ribosomal RNA (381 nucleotides) under uncultured marine Chaetocerotaceae. RNAcentral's name for it is "SSU rRNA". It matches the Rfam family "Eukaryotic small subunit ribosomal RNA", at positions 587 to 972 of the family's 1831-position model. Lineage: Eukaryota; Bacillariophyta; Thalassiosirophyceae; Chaetocerotales; Chaetocerotaceae. The record is from RNAcentral.
AGCUCCAAUAGCGUAUAUUAAAGUUGCUGCAGUUAAAAAGCUCGUAGUUGCAUUUCCGAGGCAAGGGAUUAGUCCGACCUUUGGUGGGUAUUUAAUCCUCUUGCCUCGUCCUUGAGUGGUGCUUCUUGGUAUUAAGUUAUCGAGGAGAUAGCCGCUCAUCGUUUACUGUGAGAAAAUUAGAGUGUUCAAAGCAGGCUUAUGCCGUUGAAUAUAUUAGCAUGGAAUAAUAAGAUAGGACCUCGGUACUAUUUUGUUGGUUUGAGAACCAAGGUAAUGAUGAAUAGGGACAGUUGGGGGUAUUCGUAUUCAGUUGUCAGAGGUGAAAUUCUUAGAUUUACGGAAGACGAACUACUGCGAAAGCAUUUUCCACGGAUGUUUUCA